Molecule: ribosomal RNA, 614 nt
Filed under: Clarias macrocephalus (bighead catfish)
Lineage: Eukaryota; Metazoa; Chordata; Actinopteri; Siluriformes; Clariidae
Description: partial 16S ribosomal RNA
Source: RNAcentral
CCGAACUUAGUUAUAGCUGGUUGCCUAAGAAAUGAAUAGAAGUUCAGCCUCGCACUCCUCAACUCACAAACACAUUAUUUAAAACACGAAUUAGAGAAACACGCGAGAGUUAAUCAAAGGGGGUACAGCCCCUUUGAAACAGAAUACAACCUCACCAGGAGGUUAAAGAUUAUAUUAAAUAAGAUACACCGCUUUAGUGGGCCUAAAAGCAGCCAUCUAAACAGAAAGCGUUAAAGCUCCUGCGGAUUAAAAAUCUAUUAUACAAAUACCUCAUCUAAAACCCCUAAUUCUAUUAGGCCAUCCCAUGCCCCCAUGGAAGAGACACUGCUAAAAUGAGUAAUAAGAAGGAACACCCUUCUCCAAAGCCUACGUGUAUGCUAGACCGGACCCACCACUAGCAAUUACCGAACCCAACAAAAGAGGGCAAUGUGGCAUUACUAAACACCAAGAAAUACCCACAACCCAAAUCGUUAAACCCACACCGGAAGGCUACUUAAAGGAAAGACUAAAAGAAGAGGAAGGAACUCGGCAAACACAAGCCUCGCCUGUUUACCAAAAACAUCGCCUCCUGCAAAACUCAAUAUAUAGGAGGUCUUGCCUGCCCAGUGACUAGU